CAGUAGCCACGGUAAUACGGAGGGGGCUAGCGUUGUUCGGAAUUACUGGGCGUAAAGCGUACGUAGGCGGCUUUGUAAGUUAGAGGUGAAAGCCCGGGGCUCAACCCCGGAAUUGCCUUUAAGACUGCAUCGCUUGAAUCGCGGAGAGGUGAGUGGAAUUCCGAGUGUAGAGGUGAAAUUCGUAGAUAUUCGGAAGAACACCAGUGGCGAAGGCGGCUCACUGGACGCGUAUUGACGCUGAGGUACGAAAGCGUGGGGAGCAAACAGGAUUAGAUACCCCGGUAGUCCCUGUCUCUUAUAC
This 301-nucleotide ribosomal RNA is filed under the name uncultured bacterium. RNAcentral describes it as "partial 16S ribosomal RNA". It matches the Rfam family "Bacterial small subunit ribosomal RNA", at positions 509 to 807 of the family's 1533-position model. The record is from RNAcentral.